Molecule: long non-coding RNA, 553 nt
Filed under: Dermacentor andersoni
Lineage: Eukaryota; Metazoa; Arthropoda; Arachnida; Ixodida; Ixodidae
Description: uncharacterized LOC126537911
Source: RNAcentral
UAUUCCUUUUAUACAAUAGCCCACAAAUUUAUUGAGCUUCAGGCUCCUUCAUUUCUCUUGCCAGCAUUGAGGAGAUGAUGUUAUUUAUGUAAAAGAGGCUGGCAGAGGGAAACUUGGAGCAUGUGUAGUCUGGAAAAGAAAUACAGCAUAAGAUUACCGAUGCAUACAGGAUUUUCUAGCUUUAUAAUAGAAGAAUAACAAAUUGAAGCCUUAUGCUAUGUUUAAUUGCAGGCCACACUGCUAGUGUCAGUCAUGAAACAUCAUCACACAGUAAUUUAGCUAUACGUUGUGUACUUUGAGCCAGGGUCUGCAGUUAUCAGGUGUGCACCACGAUAUUGUAAAGAGCAGAGGCAGAAUGAAGAUAAACAUCCCAGUACUGGCGCCAAGCUCUUUGGCAUGCAUAAAGAACAGGUCAGUGUGUUAGCAGCUAUUCAUUGGAAUUUUAUAUAAUUCAUUUGCACGUACAGGUAAUCCUCUAUAACGAAGCCAGUAAAACCAGCACUUUACUUCGUUGUAUAAAAAUUUCGCUGAAUGAAAAUUUGACCUUUUAUAA